CCAUGUCAUACCUUCCUGUUCAGAAGAACAGAAUGCAAGAUUAUCAAAGUGUUCGUGACAUGGAAGAAGUAAACAAAGUUUUUAAGUUUUAGCAAAACGACCCGGCUUGUGCAAUCAAUGGUUGAGCUUCCGUGUUGUCUCGGGCUAUCACGGCUUUCACAAACAAGUUCAUCCUCUCUGAAGCAUUCUCACCAUAUGAUCUGCAAGCACUUUUCAUCUGCCCAGCCAGUAAAAAGCAUAUAGGGACCAGCAUGGCCAGAAGAGAGGCAAUGGCUCCAAGGGCUGUACUAGCCGCCACUUGAACCGGGUGCAUGACCGGAUGAACCGGCUCUCCUU
Long non-coding RNA from Tarenaya hassleriana, 336 nucleotides. RefSeq lists it as uncharacterized. The record is from RefSeq and is a predicted model, not a curated record. The transcript is spliced from 3 exons. Lineage: Eukaryota; Viridiplantae; Streptophyta; Magnoliopsida; Brassicales; Cleomaceae.